This 1399-nucleotide ribosomal RNA is filed under the name metagenome. RNAcentral's name for it is "bacterial LSU rRNA". It matches the Rfam family "Bacterial large subunit ribosomal RNA", at positions 1537 to 2925 of the family's 2925-position model. The record is from RNAcentral.
AAAAAUCCGCGCGGCUUAGCUGAGGCAUGAUAACGAGGGCCUUCGGGCCUGAAGCAACUGAUACCCUGCUUCCAGGAAAAGCCUCUAAGCUUCAGUCAUAGAGUGACCGUACCGCAAACCGACACAGGUGGGCUGGUAGAGAAUACCAAGGCGCUUGAGAGAACUCAGGAGAAGGAACUCGGCAAAUUGAUACCGUAACUUCGGGAGAAGGUAUGCCCCGUUAGCUUGUAGGAGAACAUCCGAAGGGCGAAGGGGCCGCAGAGAAUCGGUGGCUGCGACUGUUUAUUAAAAACACAGCACUGUGCAAACACGAAAGUGGACGUAUACGGUGUGACGCCUGCCCGGUGCCGGAAGGUUAAGUGAUGGGGUGCAAGCUCUUGAUCGAAGCCCCGGUAAACGGCGGCCGUAACAAUAACGGUCCUAAGGUAGCGAAAUUCCUUGUCGGGUAAGUUCCGACCUGCACGAAUGGCGUAACGAUGGCCACACUGUCUCCUCCUGAGACUCAGCGAAGUUGAAAUGUUUGUGAAGAUGCAAUCUACCCGCGGCUAGACGGAAAGACCCCAUGAACCUUUACUGUAGCUUUGCAUUGGACUUUGACGGGAUUUGUGUAGGAUAGGUGGGAGGCUAUGAAACCGGGACGCUAGUUUCGGUGGAGCCAACCUUGAAAUACCACCCUGGUGUCGUCGAGGUUCUAACCCAGGUCUGUGAAUCCAGAUCGGGGACCGUGCAUGGUGGGCAGUUUGACUGGGGCGGUCUCCUCCUAAAGCGUAACGGAGGAGUACGAAGGUCACCUAGGUACGGUCGGACAUCGUACUGAUAGUGCAAUGGCAAAGGUGGCUUGACUGCGAGACCCACAAGUCGGGCAGGUGCGAAAGCAGGUCAUAGUGAUCCGGUGGUUCUGUAUGGAAGGGCCAUCGCUCAACGGAUAAAAGGUACUCUGGGGAUAACAGGCUGAUUCCGCCCAAGAGUUCACAUCGACGGCGGAGUUUGGCACCUCGAUGUCGGCUCAUCACAUCCUGGGGCUGUAGCCGGUCCCAAGGGUAUGGCUGUUCGCCAUUUAAAGUGGUACGUGAGCUGGGUUUAAAACGUCGUGAGACAGUUUGGUCCCUAUCUGCCGUGGGCGCUGGAAGUUUGAGAGGGCUUGCUCCUAGUACGAGAGGACCGGAGUGAACGCACCCCUGGUGUACCGGUUGUGACGCCAGUCGCAUCGCCGGGUAGCUAUGUGCGGAAGAGAUAACCGCUGAAAGCAUCUAAGCGGGAAACUCGCCUCAAGAUGAGACUUCCCCGUGGCCUUGAGCCCCCUGAAGGGUCGUUGAAGACCACAACGUUGAUAGGUCGGGUGUGGAAGCGUGGCAACACGUUAAGCUAACCGAUACUAAUUGCCCGUGUGGCUUGAUCC